GGAUAGCUCAACGGGUAGAUCAUGAGACUCUUAAUCUCAGGGGUCAUGGGUUCCAGCCCCAGGUUAGGCA
Podarcis lilfordi (Lilford's wall lizard) is the source of this 70-nucleotide non-coding RNA. Lineage: Eukaryota; Metazoa; Chordata; Lepidosauria; Squamata; Lacertidae. The record is from the annotation of a GenBank genome assembly.